UACGAAGGGGGCUAGCGUUGCUCGGAAUCACUGGGCGCAAAGCGCACGUAGGCGGCUUUCUAAGUCAGGGGUGAAAUCCUGGAGCUCAACUCCAGAACUGCCUUUGAUACUGGAGAGCUUGAGUCCGGAAGAGGUGAGUGGAACUCCGAGUGUAGAGGUGAAAUUCGUAGAUAUUCGGAAGAACACCAGUGGCGAAGGCGGCUCACUGGUCCGGUACUGACGCUGAGGUGCGAAAGCGUGGGGAGCAAACAGG
This 253-nucleotide ribosomal RNA is filed under the name uncultured bacterium. Its description in RNAcentral is "partial 16S ribosomal RNA". It matches the Rfam family "Bacterial small subunit ribosomal RNA", at positions 524 to 776 of the family's 1533-position model. The record is from RNAcentral.